GUUUUUAUAGUUUAAGAUAAAACAAUGAUUUUGUAAAUCAAGAAUAGAAACUUAAAUAAGUUGUCUUAAGAACA
Molecule: transfer RNA, 74 nt
Filed under: Symplana brevistrata
Lineage: Eukaryota; Metazoa; Arthropoda; Insecta; Hemiptera; Lophopidae
Description: tRNA-Thr
Source: RNAcentral